This 71-nucleotide transfer RNA is filed under the name Chorisquilla orientalis. RNAcentral's name for it is "tRNA-Trp". It matches the Rfam family "tRNA". Rfam says of the family: Transfer RNA (tRNA) molecules are approximately 80 nucleotides in length. Their secondary structure includes four short double-helical elements and three loops (D, anti-codon, and T loops). Lineage: Eukaryota; Metazoa; Arthropoda; Malacostraca; Stomatopoda; Protosquillidae. The record is from RNAcentral.
AAGAUCUUAAGUUAAUCCAAAACUAAAAGACUUCAAACCUUUCAAUAUGAGUAUAAAUCUCCUAGGUCUUA